RNAcentral lists this ribosomal RNA (361 nucleotides) under uncultured organism. Its description in RNAcentral is "bacterial SSU rRNA". It matches the Rfam family "Bacterial small subunit ribosomal RNA", at positions 45 to 433 of the family's 1533-position model. The record is from RNAcentral.
GGCCUAAUACAUGCAAGUCGAGCGGGUCCUUCGGGAUUAGCGGCGGACGGGUGAGUAACGCGUGGGAACGUGCCCUUUGGUACGGAACAACUGAGGGAAACUUCAGCUAAUACCGUAUGUGCCCUUCGGGGGAAAGAUUUAUCGCCAUUGGAGCGGCCCGCGUUGGAUUAGGUAGUUGGUGAGGUAAAGGCUCACCAAGCCUACGAUCCAUAGCUGGUCUGAGAGGAUGACCAGCCACACUGGGACUGAGACACGGCCCAGACUCCUACGGGAGGCAGCAGUAGGGAAUCUUGCGCAAUGCCCGAAAGGGUGACGCAGCGACGCCGCGUGAAGGAUGAAGACCCUAUGGGUUGUAAACUUC